Molecule: long non-coding RNA, 1365 nt
Filed under: Homo sapiens (human)
Lineage: Eukaryota; Metazoa; Chordata; Mammalia; Primates; Hominidae
Description: non-protein coding lnc-IL1F10-2:1
Source: RNAcentral
GAUUCUGUGAGUUGACUAGGUGGUUCCUCUGCUGAUCUUGCCAGGGCUCUGUUGCACUCAGCUGGAGGCUCAACUCAGCUGGAAAGUCCAAGAUAGUCUCUCCCAUGUCUGGCUGUUGGUGCUGGCUGUUGGUUGGGGGCCUUGGCUAUUCAUGUGUCCUCCCAUCCUCCAGUAAACUGGAAUGACUUUCUUACAUGGCUAUCUUAGUGUUGCUUCUCAAAAAGGGAAAGGUAGAAGCUGCAAAUGCUCUUGAGGCCUAGGGUCCAAAACUCACAUUUGUCAGGAAGGACUGUGGCAGUGGGUGGGAGUAGUGGAGAAAGGGUCUAGUCCCCAGAAGUGGAGCUGGUGAGGGUGGAUGGGAUACUGGGGCUCCCAGCCAAUGUCAGAAGCACUUUGUCAUAACCUGCCUCAUGUUAUUCACUCCUAGCAUAGCCUGUUGGUCUAAGCAAGUCCCAAGGCCAGCCCUGAUUUAUGGAGACGUGGGUAGAGAAAUGGAUUCUUCCUCUGAAGGGGAAGAUCUGCAAAGAAUCUGUGCCCAAAGUCACUGUAAACAAAUGGAAGAGGAGGGGGUAAAGCACAGGCUGACUGAUUCGUGAAUGUGCACUCCUGACCAUCAUGCUAUGCUGCCUCCAUGAGAAACUCUGACAUGGCUGUGUAGCCAGCAAUUCAUUCAUUCAUUCUUUCAUCAAAUGUUACUGACCACCUGCAAUGUUCAAGUGCAGAACUGGGCAGGGGGCAUACAGAAUUGAAUGGGGUCCAAGAUUUGGUGCUCCUAAGGAAGAUGAGAAAGCCAGCCUUAGCCAAGCUCUCUCAAAUCUUCUUCAUCUUGCUCUGUGGUUUUAAUGCUAACUAGGAACCCAAGGGAGAGGGUCAGCCCUUGGAAUGUCUUCCAGAGGAAGGUGAAGCCCAGCUGGAGUCCCAGUCUGUGGCAAGUAAACUGGGAGAAGCAAGGACAGGCUUAAGGCUUAGCUUCUGUGCCAGGGGCUAUGUGUAAGGUUUGACUUCCUAGCCUUCUCAGGUUCACACACUACUCCUCAUUCCUUCAUGCCCUCCCAAGCCCUGAAUUCAAUGUUGGGCAACAGUGAGAGCUUAAUCAAUGGCUUUGAAUGAUUCUUAGGCAAGCUGAGAGGAAUAUCAACAAAUGUUUUAUCCGAUAUUCCCAAGAGUAGCCUGACCCAAAUCCAAGAUUAUCUCCAUGGCCUGCCCCUUUACAUCAACUCAGAGGAUGCUGCUGACAUUAUAUAUUUGCAUGCUUACUAUGUUAAAAAUGUACUGUCAGGAAACCAGAGGCUCUCAAAUUAUCUUAACCACUUAUAUCAGGAUCAGCUGAAAUGCUAGUUAAAAAUGAAGAUUUCUGGGACUCUA